This 77-nucleotide transfer RNA is filed under the name Caudoviricetes sp. RNAcentral describes it as "tRNA-Met". It matches the Rfam family "tRNA". From Rfam's summary of the family: Transfer RNA (tRNA) molecules are approximately 80 nucleotides in length. Their secondary structure includes four short double-helical elements and three loops (D, anti-codon, and T loops). Further hydrogen bonds mediate the characteristic L-shaped molecular structure. tRNAs have two regions of fundamental functional importance: the anti-codon, which is responsible for specific mRNA codon recognition, and the 3' end, to which the tRNAs corresponding amino acid is attached (by aminoacyl-tRNA synthetases). tRNAs cope with the degeneracy of the genetic code in two manners: having more than one tRNA (with a specific anti-codon) for a particular amino acid; and 'wobble' base-pairing, i.e. permitting non-standard base-pairing at the 3rd anti-codon position. The record is from RNAcentral. Lineage: Duplodnaviria; Heunggongvirae; Uroviricota; Caudoviricetes.
UGCGGGAUAGAGCAGUUUGGAAGCUCGUCGGGUUCAUGCCCCGGAGGUCGGAGGUUCAAAUCCUUCUCCCGCUAUUA